This 99-nucleotide non-coding RNA is filed under the name Fidelibacterota (SAR406 cluster). RNAcentral describes it as "Candidatus Marinimicrobia TPP sequence". It matches the Rfam family "TPP riboswitch aptamer (THI element)". Rfam says of the family: Vitamin B(1) in its active form thiamin pyrophosphate (TPP) is an essential coenzyme that is synthesised by coupling of pyrimidine and thiazole moieties in bacteria. The previously detected thiamin-regulatory element, thi box was extended, resulting in a new, highly conserved RNA secondary structure, the THI element, which is widely distributed in eubacteria and also occurs in some archaea. Analysis of operon structures identified a large number of new candidate thiamin-regulated genes, mostly transporters, in various prokaryotic organisms. The record is from RNAcentral. Lineage: Bacteria; Pseudomonadati.
AGGUAGCUCUAGGGGUGCUAUAAUAAAUCUUAGCUGAGAAUAAACCCUUAUGACUUGAUCUGGAUAAUACCAGCGGAAGGAAAGAGAGUAUGUUUUUUA